RNAcentral lists this ribosomal RNA (482 nucleotides) under uncultured bacterium. RNAcentral describes it as "partial 16S ribosomal RNA". It matches the Rfam family "Bacterial small subunit ribosomal RNA", at positions 28 to 523 of the family's 1533-position model. The record is from RNAcentral.
GACGAACGCUGGCGGCGUGCUUAACACAUGCAAGUCGAACGGAAAGGCUCCAGCUUGCUGGAGUACUCGAGUGGCGAACGGGUGAGUAACACGUGGGUAAUCUGCCCUGCACUCUGGGAUAAGCCUGGGAAACUGGUCUAAUACUGGAUAUGACCUUUCUCCUUAUGGGGUUUGGUGGAAAGUUUUUCGGUGUAGGAUGAGCCCGCGGCCUAUCAGCUUGUUGGUGGGGUGAUGGCCUACCAAGGCGACGACGGGUAGCCGGCCUGAGAGGGUGAUCGGCCACAUUGGGACUGAGAUACGGCCCAGACUCCUACGGGAGGCAGCAGUGGGGAAUAUUGCACAAUGGGCGGAAGCCUGAUGCAGCGACGCCGCGUGAGGGAUGACGGCCUUCGGGUUGUAAACCUCUUUCAGCAGGGACGAAGCGUAAGUGACGGUACCUGCAGAAGAAGCACCGGCUAACUACGUGCCAGCAGCCGCAGUAA